This 324-nucleotide long non-coding RNA is filed under the name Musa acuminata (dwarf banana). Its description in RNAcentral is "long non-coding RNA (MACU_LNC000932)". Lineage: Eukaryota; Viridiplantae; Streptophyta; Magnoliopsida; Zingiberales; Musaceae. The record is from RNAcentral.
CAACGGAGAGGGCGAGGGAUAAGAGAGAGGCUUACGGCAGCAGCCAUGAAGCGAAGGGGGAAGGGCGAGAGGCCCAAAUCUGAUGCGUUCCCCGCUUCCCUCUCCAAGCGCCUUCGACGGCCGCCUCCGACCGAAGCGGCUGAAGGAGAGCCCGCCGAGGCAACUGCCGCCGCCUCGCCCUCCGUCGUCCUGGUCACCGGCCUCCCCGCUGACUGCACCGUGCUGGAACUGAAGUCCCGCCUGGAGAUGUACGGCCCCAUCUCCCGCACCCGCAUCGACGUCGACGGCCGCGGCUUCGUCACCUUCCGCUCCGACCACGCCGCU